AGGGCAUACGGCGGAUGCCUUGGCGCCAAGAGCCGAUGAAGGACGCGGUAAGCUGCGAAAAGGCAUGGGUAGGAGCAAGCAUCCUGUGAUCCAUGCAUAUCCGAAUGGGGCAACCCACCAUCAGUCAUGUGAUGGUACGAAAGAGGCAGACCUGGGGAACUGAAACAUCUAAGUACCCAGAGGAAAAGUAAUCAAUUGAGAUUCCCUAAGUAGCGGCGAGCGAAAGGGGAAGAGCCCAAACCAUGAAACUUCGGUUUUGUGGGGUUGAGGACCGGCAAAAAGAGGAAACUUCUUAGUCGAAUGGUUUGGAAAGGCCAUGCACAGAAGGUAAAACACCUGUAGGCGAAAAGAAGUCAAUCGGGCUGGUAUCCAGAGUACUGCGAGACACGUGAAACCUUGCAGGAAGCAGGGGGGACCACCCUCCAAGGCAAAAUACUACUUGGCGACCGAUAGCGCAUAGUACCGUGAGGGAAAGGUGAAAAGAACCCCGGGAGGGGAGUGAAAUAGAACCUGAAACCGUAUGUCUACAAGCAGUCGAAGCACCUUAAGAGUGCGACGGCGUGCCUAUUGAAGAAUGAACCGGCGAGUUAUGAGGUCCAGCGAGGUUAAGCAGGAAAUGCGGAGCCGAAGCGAAAGCGAGUCUUAACAGGGCGAAUAGUUGGACUGCAUAGACCCGAAACCACAGUGAUCUACCCAUGUCCAGGUUGAAGCACAGGUAAAAAUGUGUGGAGGACCGAACCUAUAUCCGUUGAAAAGGGUUAGGAUGAGGUGUGGGUAGGGGUGAAAUUCCAAUCGAACGUGGAGAUAGCUGGUUCUCCCCGAAAUAGCUUUAGGGCUAGCCUCAGGGUAAAGAUUGCAGGCGGUAGAGCACUGAUCAGGAGAGGGACCUACCCGGUUACCAAACCCAGUCAAACUACGAAUGGCUGCAAUUAUACCUGGGAGUCAGACUACGACUUAUAAGGGCCGUGGUCAAAAGGGAAACAGCCCAGAUCAUCAGCUAAGGUCCCAAAUGCCGUGCUAAGUGGCGAAGGAUGUGGCGUUUCAUAAACAACCAGGAUGUUGGCUCAGAAGCAGCCACCAUUUAAAGAGUGCGUAAUAGCUCACUGGUCGAGAGACGCUGCGCCGAAAAUGUCCGGGGCUCAAGCACGGAACCGAAGCUAUGGCAUUGCGUAAGCAAUGGGUAGGGGAGCGUUCUUAUGGGGAAGAAGCAUUACCGUAAGGAGAUGUGGACACAUAAGAAGUGAGAAUGCCGGUAUGAGUAUCGAAAAGAAAGGUGAGAAUCCUUUCCACCGAAAGCCCGAGGGUUCCUGAGCAACGAUCGUCGUCUCAGGGUAAGUCGGGACCUAAGCCGAGGCACAGACGCAUAGGCGAUGGACAACAGGUUGAAAUUCCUGUACCGGAUGGAGUCAUUUGAGCAAUGGAGUGACGCAGGAGGGCACAUGAUCGCGCGACUGGAAGAGCGCGUCCAAGUGCGUAUGUUGAAUCGGAGGCAAAUCCCCGAUUCUGAAAGCAGAGACAUGAUGGGGAGUUAUAAGCGAUUAUGACGAACUCAUGGAUCCCACACUGCCAAGAAAAACUUCUAGCGAGACGAAAUCCGCCCGUACCGUAAACCGACACAGGUAGGCGGGGAGAGAAUCCUAAGGUGCGCGGGACAACCCUCGUUAAGGAACUCGGCAAAUUGCAUCCGUAACUUCGGGAGAAGGAUGGCCCUGAGUAGGCGAAGUGCAGAAACGCACGGAACAGAAAAGGGUGGCAGAAAAGAGGCCCAAGCAACUGUUUACCAAAAACACAGGUGCCUGCGAAAGCGAAAGCUGAAGUAUAGGUGCUGACGCCUGCCCGGUGCUGGAAGGUUAAGGGGAGAGGUUAGCGCAAGCGAAGCUUUGAAUUGAAGCCCCAGUGAACGGCGGCCGUAACUAUAACGGUCCUAAGGUAGCGAAAUUCCUUGUCGGGUAAGUUCCGACCCGCACGAAUGGAGUAACGAUUUGGGCACUGUCUCAACAGGGGGCCCGGCGAAAUUGUAGUAUACGUGAAGAUGCGUAUUAACCCGCGACUGGACGGAGAGACCCCGUAGAGCUUUACUGUAGCUUGAUAUUGAUGCACGACAACGAAUGCACAGGAUAGGUGGGAGACUUAGAGACAGGGACUUCGGUUUCUGAGGAGUCGACGUUGGGAUACCACCCUUUCAUUGUUGGGCAUCUAACGGACGGCCGUGAACCGGCGUACGGACAGUGUCAGGCGGGCAGUUUGACUGGGGCGGUCGCCUCCUAAAAUGUAACGGAGGCGCCCAAAGGUUCCCUCAGGAUGGUUGGAAAUCAUCCGGCGAGUGUAAAGGCACAAGGGAGCUUGACUGCGAGACCGGCAGGUCGGGCAGAUACGAAAGUAGGGCUUAGUGAUCCGGCGGUAGAGAAUGGAAUUGCCGUCGCUUAACGGAUAAAAGUUACCUCGGGGAUAACAGGCUGAUCUCCCCCAAGAGUUCACAUCGACGGGGAGGUUUGGCACCUCGAUGUCGGCUCGUCACAUCCUGGGGCUGAAGCAGGUCCCAAGGGUUCGGCUGUUCGCCGAUUAAAGUGGCACGCGAGCUGGGUUCAGAACGUCGUGAGACAGUUCGGUCCCUAUCCAUCGUGGGCGUAGGAUAUUUGAGAGGCUUUGUCCCUAGUACGAGAGGACCGGGAUGAACGCACCUAUCGUGCACCUGUUGUCGUGCCAACGGCAUAGCAGGGUAGCGAAGUGCGGAUGAGAUAAACGCUGAAAGCAUCUAAGCGUGAAACUCGCCUCAAGAUAAGAUAUCCCAAACUUUAAGUUUGUAAGACCCCUGAAAGACGAUCAGGUUGAUAGGUCGGGAGUGUAAGCGCCGCAAGGCGUUCAGCGGACCGAUACUAAUAGGUCGAGGGCUUAUUCU
Molecule: ribosomal RNA, 2899 nt
Filed under: human gut metagenome
Description: bacterial LSU rRNA
Rfam family: Bacterial large subunit ribosomal RNA
Source: RNAcentral